AUGCCGCCCAAGCGCGGGCGGGGCCGCGGAAGGGGCCGGGGGCGCGGGAGGCCGCGCAGGGAGGCCCCGGCCGCGGACGAGGCGAGCGGCGGGGGCACCGACGACGACCUAGGUCUCGCGGCCAUCCCCUCCGCCUCCACCGCCGAGGAGCCCAGGCGAGGGCGCGGGCGGGGUAGGCGCGGCAGGCGCGGCCGGGGGAGCCGCGGGCGCGGGCGAACGCCCGCCGUCAAAGCAGAGGAGGACGACGAUAUGGAGGCCAGCGAGGAGUUGCCGCUGAAUUCUACCUUGGACGGCGACGCAAAGGAGGUUGACGAGGAGUUGCCGCCUCCUUCUACCGCGGAGAACGGUGUGGACAAGGGCAACGAAGAGAUGCCACCACAGGAUUCUGCCGAGGAGAAAGACGCACAAGGGGGAACGCAGAACUUGAGACCAGCAAGAAAACGCAAGUGGGAUCCUGUUGCUGACCCCUCUUCUCUUGAGCCUCGCCCUGCGCGAGUUAGGAAGACGCUGAAUCCUCCAGUAGUAGAUGGUUCACCUAAGGUGAAAGCUAAGGUGCAAGCUAAGGUGAAAGCUAAGAAUACAAAAAGGUCAGAUGGAACUUCAACCAUGUGUCAUCAGUGCCAGAGGAGGGACAAAGGGAGAGUUGUGCAGUGUCUUGGCUGCAAAGACAAAGACUACACGAGGAGAUACUGCAUGAAGUGCAUAGAUCGCUGGUAUCCACAUUUAACAGAAGAUGACUUUGUGAAUAGUUGUCCAUCUUGUCGCAAUAACUGCAACUGCAAAACCUGUCUACGGAAAAACAUAAUAAAGAAGGUUGACAAAUGGGAAGUAUCCAAAGAAGAUAUAAUCAAAUUCUCUCAUCGAAAUCUUCACUUCUUGCUCCCAUGGUUGAAAGACUUUCACCAUGAGCAGAUGCAAGAGAAAAGUAUUGAGGCAAUGAUUAAAGGUGUUGAUGCAUCUGAAGUGAAGGUUACUCAAGCGGACUGUAAAGAAGAUGAGCGGAUAUACUGUAACAACUGCAGAACAUCUAUAGUUGACCUCCACAGAAGCUGUGAUAAAUGUUCCUAUGAUCUCUGCCUCAGCUGCUGCCGGGAGCUUCGUGAUGGACUUAGUCCUGGUGCUGCUGCUGCAAAUAGCAUGGUCCUUACGCAACCUGGGGUAGAAGGCACAGAAGAUCUGCAACAGAGUAGUCACGAUAACAUUGCAAGUCCAAAGCCUUCUGAUGGACAGAAUAACGUUUUGAUGGACAAUGCAGUUCCUGUUAACAUUGCAAGUCCAAAGCCUUCUGAUGGACAGAAUGAUGUUUUGAUGGACAAUGCAGUUCCUGUUGAGGAUAAUGUUCCUGGUUUGAAACUAUGGAGGGUGAAUAGCAAUGGAAGCAUAUCUUGCCCGCCAAACGCUUUUGGUGGCUGUGGAGAUUCUGUUCUUGAACUUAAGUCAUUGUUGGAGGAGAAUAUUAUUUCUGACUUAUUGGAGAAAGCUGAUUUAGUUGUCAAGGAUGAAAGAACGCUGGAAGCGGGUGGUUCAAAAUGUUCCUGCUUUACCGACUCUAGUGAGAUGACCAAUGGAACCUCAUAUAAAUUGGCUUGUAGAGAUAACUCAAGUGACAAUUACAUAUAUUGCCCAAAUGCUAGAGAUGUUCAAAAUGGAGCUUUAGAUCAUUUCCAGGAGCACUGGUUGAAGGGUGAGCCUGUUAUUGUUCGUGACGUGCUUGAGUUAACUUCCGGGUUAAGCUGGGAACCUAUGGUUAUGUGGCGGGCUUUACGAGAAAAGAAAGACAAGAGCGAACAUGAGCGACUCUCAGUUACAGCUCUUGAGUGUCUGGCGUGGUCUGAGGUUGAAAUAAACACUAGCUUCUUUUUUAAUGGGUAUUCCCGUGGAGCUGUUGGUCCAGAGGGUUUGCCUGUGUUACUCAAGCUUAAAGAUUGGCCACAACACAGCUCAUUCGAGGAUCGACUGCCACGACAUCUUGCUGAGUUCAUAUCUGCCUUGCCAUUUCGUGAAUAUACAGAUCAUAAAUCUGGUCCUCUUAAUCUGGCAGUGAAGCUUCCAAAGAAAGUCAUAAAGCCAGAUCUUGGUCCAAAGACUUACAUUGCGUAUGGUGUUGCCCAGGAAUUAGGAGUUGGUGAUUCAGUCACUAAGAUUCAUUGUGACAUGUCUGAUGCGGUGAAUAUCUUAACACAUACUGAUGAAAUAAAGCUCAAAGCACAAAGGAUUGCAGCGAUUGAGAAAAAGAAGAAGAGUUUGGCAAGAAAGGAAGACAACAGAAAUCUUCAAGCUUCACAUCCUGACUGUGACAUGUCGAUAGCUCGCAGUGAAUUAAUGAAGGGGCCGAGACCUGAAGGAUCUGGGCAUGUCUCAGUCAUUAAGCAGCCAUUAUCAGAUGCUGUUUUAGACGAGCAUAAAGAUGUGGCAGCUGAUGAAGCUGAACAAAACAUCACUUCGAAUGGGCGAGCGCCCAUUGAAGGUGAUGUGGAUCAUAUGGAUCUUUCCAUUUCCAAGGAGGCAGCAGAAGCCACAGUUAAUGAGAGAGAGAAUGUGGGUUGUGGUUUAAGCAGUGAAGAUAAAAGUGAAUCUCCAGAUAAUUCAGAAGGAUCUUCUGAACCUAAUGGUCGUCAAACACACGGCGUGCGACGUAGCGGUCGUUCUUCUAAUGCAUCAAAGAGAAAAGUGGAAGAAAGCUCAGAAGAUGAGGUGAAUGGAUCCAUAACUCUUGAGAAAAGAAAAAAGGAAGCACCAAAGAGAAAAAAGGGAGCGCCAAAGAGAAAGAAAGAAGUGCCAGAGGGAAACCAAACAGGGGGUGGUGCAUUGUGGGAUAUAUUCCGACGGGAAGAUGUCAGCAAACUACAGGAGUAUCUAAUAAAGCAUUCAGAGGAGUUUAGGCAUUACAAUUAUGAACCAGUGAAGCAGGUUAUUCAUCCUAUACAUGAUCAGUGCUUUUACCUAACAAAUGAGCACAAGAGAAAACUCAAGGAAGAAUAUGGAGUUGAGCCUUGGACAUUUGAACAGAAACUUGGUGAUGCAGUCUUUAUCCCUGCAGGAUGUCCCCACCAAGUCAGAAAUUUGAAGUCAUGUAUAAAGGUUGCACUGGACUUUGUUUCUCCGGAAAAUGUAAAAGAGUGCAUCAAGUUGACAGAAGAAUUCCGUCUGCUUCCAAACUGGCAUAGGGUGAAUGAAGAUAAGCUAGAGGUUAAGAAGAUAGCUUUUCAUGCAAUCAAACGAGCCAUUCGUGAUAUUACCAAAAAAGAUGGCGAUCGAAGCUCCGAUGAUGAAGGUCAAGAUAAACCUGGACGUGGUUCGAGAAAAGUAAAAUCUGGUCGUCUGAAAAAAGUAAAAUCUGGUCGUCCGAAAAGAGGAAGACCUGGUCCAAGUGAACCAGCAGAAGCAGAGGAGCAAGAAGAACAAUCAGCUCAUGGAAUGUCUCCAGUUGAAGACAAAGGUCUAGAAAUGGAGGCGGACCAAGGAGAAUCAGCUCUGGAUAUGUGUGAAGCGAAAGAUGGACCAAGUGUCCGGCGUGGUUUGAGAAAAAGAAAACCUGGUGGUCUGAAAAAAGGAAAACCUGGUUGUCCGAAAAAAGGGAAACGUGGUCCAAGUGAACCUGCAGUUCCAGAGGAGCAUGAAGAGCCAUCAGCUCAGGAAAUGUCUCCAGUUGAAGAUGAAGGUGCAGAAAUGGAGGGGGACCAAGGACAAUCAGCUCCGGGCUUGUCUGAAGCGAAAGAUGGACCUGAAGAAAUGGAGGAGCAACAAGAAGAGUCAGCUCAGGACAUGUCUGAAGCUGAAGAAAUGAAGGAGCGCCAGGAACAUUCAGGUCAGGACAUGUCUGAAGCUGAAGAUGAGCCUGCAGAAGUGGAGGAGCACCAGGAACAUUCAGCUGUGGAGAUGAGUGAAGCUGAAGACGAACCUGCAGGAGUGGAGGAGCAGCAAGAAGAGUCAGGUCUAGGCAUGUCUGAAGAUGCAGGCGAUCCUGCAGAAAUGAAGGGGCACCAAGGACAGUCAGCUGAGGACAUGCCUGAAGUUAAAGAUGGAGCUGCAGAAAUGGGGGAGCGCCAAGAUGAGUCAGCUGAGGACAUGUGUGAAGCCGAAGACGAGCCUGCAGAAACGGGGGAGAGGCAGAAGCAAUCAGCUGGCGGCAUCCCUGAAGCUAAAGGCGAUCCUGCAGAGGCGCAGGAGGAGCACCAGAGACAGCAGGUUGAGGCUACCCUGCCUACAACGGCAUGA
RNAcentral lists this ribosomal RNA (4218 nucleotides) under Triticum aestivum (bread wheat). Its description in RNAcentral is "partial small subunit ribosomal RNA". Lineage: Eukaryota; Viridiplantae; Streptophyta; Magnoliopsida; Poales; Poaceae. The record is from RNAcentral.